Cephus cinctus (wheat stem sawfly) is the source of this 2674-nucleotide long non-coding RNA. RefSeq lists it as uncharacterized. Lineage: Eukaryota; Metazoa; Arthropoda; Insecta; Hymenoptera; Cephidae. The record is from RefSeq and is a predicted model, not a curated record. The transcript is spliced from 6 exons.
UUAAGAUUUGUAUCGUUGUCGUUUAGAUUCUUUAAGAAAUAAGAUGUUCGUUCAUAUCUACAUGAUCGAAAUCAAAGGGAAAAAGAAAAAGAAGACAAAGGUUCUGGAGAUACGCGAAAAUUUGGCGCUGUAGAGGUUAUUGGCCAAGGAGCAGCUUACAACCCUCGUGGCAAAAAAUACUUAGAAAAUUACUAGUUUGUGUUUUGACAGCUAAGAAUUUUAGGAGCAACGACAGUUCUGGCAACCUGUGAUUUUCGUAGCCGCUCAACUUCGGUCACUUCGGGACAGUAAAACUCGCACGUUUCGCGACGGUCAGGAUGAUGGAAGUAGGGUGAGCAGGGAGACGAGGAGGUGCGUCGAUUGCACAGGGAUAAAGGAGUUAAGAAAAAACGUCAAGUAAUUUACAACAAUCGUAAACGUAAGCGCAGGCGCAGCCGCUUGAUUCAUAGUGAUUGCCUAACGGAACCACUGCCAAAACGUACUCCCGCUACGUUCUGUGUCUGGUUGUUUGACUGCCUACCAGCUCCGUUCCCUGGCAUCUCCAGUGACGUCUAUAUCAUCCCGAACCCUGCAAUUUCGAGGAAACUGCAUCACGAUUUACGAUCCUCCAGCUUGUAACUGUUCUCUUUGCGAAUACGACGGAUUGGACAUUUGCAUUGAAGCAGUAGGAGCAUGUGAAGGGCAGUGGGUCGGUGUCCGUCUGGUACGAUGACCUUGAGAGGAGUAGAAUGACUAGUCAGCAUAUAAGAGAAAAGUUCAACCAAUCAUCCUUUGUGUCCAACAUGACCAUCAGCCAUCUUGUAGAUGACAUCGUCUUGUAACGUGAGCGACAUUACGGCAAAGUGGACGAGCACGAGGGUGGGUUCUAUAGAAGUACACCGAUAAUAAUACACCGACGUCGACGUCGACGGGGAACGGCGUCAGCGACGACCGCAGGGCAGUGCACCACGACGUGGCUCUUUUUAUAUUCAUGAUUGCUGCCUGCUGUAACCUGACUAAAAGUACGAAGCCGAUAUAGUUUCGUUCUGAAACUCAAUAGCGUGCACAUCGGAAAUGUCACGCUCUCUAUCAUGGUCGAGUUGGCUGCCUGGCUGCUGUCCGUGAGGUUGGCCAACUGAAUAGAUAUAUUAAUAUUCUGUGAGGAGGAGAAGGUCGUGGGUGGGUAGGAAGAAGACAGGUUGGAUGUAAGAAGAAAGUAACAAUUACAAAGUAACGUGUGGACAACGUAUGUAAAAAUGAAAUACGUAUGAAGGAUCUUGAAGGUAUUGAUACUCUGUGCAAGGAUUUUUGUUUCUUUAAAUUCAUACAACAGUUCUUAUGUUCUGCGUACGGUGGGUUGUUUUGAUGUAAAUUACAAGAAUUGUUUGACUAUAAUGAACCCAUGAGAAGUCAUCGUGGUGGACUUUGUUGUGUCAUUUUGCUUUUUUCCUUCUGACAGUCCAAUGAACUUUACUGCAUCCUGGGGAUAAAAAGAAUUGCAGGAGUUCAAAAGUCCAAAGCGCGUCUGCGUCUCGCCGUGCCUGUACUUCUUCUGUAAACUAGUACUUAUACGACUCUGCGUUUCAUUUCUCCUGCGUCAUGACAACAGGCUCAUUAAUUUACAAGAAGAGACUGCUGCCCUGUCCACCGCCAGCAUUCACUCCCACGUAGGACUUAUUACACGCGCAUGCACAGACGUUUUUACUCGGGGUGAAGUUGAUGUUGAAAAGAUGCUAGAUAUUCUAUCAGUUAUACCAGUCAAAGUCAAAGGAAGUGAAUUUAUUAAGAAAAACUUUUUUUUUCAAACUUCUAACGUCAGCCAGUAAGUAAUACUCUAACGUAUUCCAAGUUCUAUGAUUCGAUACUGGUAUACAAUUUUCUAAAAGCACACUGUAACAACGAGCUUUGUAUUUUGAAUUCGAAUAAUUGAAAUUGACAAAACCGUUAGCUCGCAGACAUUUCUGAUAUACAUUUUUUUCUAUAGCACGAAUAUCCGUAUUAUAAAAGCACGGGGGUAAUAUCUUAAGGUUACCUCCUUCGUGCGACUACCUACGGACGGCGCGAUGGUAAUUAUCACGAAACGGGUUCGCAAUUAACCGGACGAUUUAAUUUAUUACCGGGCCGUAGUCGGGCCGUGGUAGUCGGACUAAGAAGACCGUCCGGGCCCUCCCGCGUUAAUUUAUUAAUCAAACCUGUUCCUGACACCCUGCACUCACCAUCUGAUCGUUGGCAGACGCGUGUUCGCUGGGAGUGGUUUAACAACGCACGGUGUAAUUGAUAAUAAAUGAGCUACACCCCUUGCUCCUUAACUCAUUCCUUGCUUUCAAUAAAGUCCCGAGCUAACGGACGUCUUCACCAGGUGUGCCUGCCGGUCUGCGCAUGCGCACGAGAUAUUGUAUAUGCUACGGAUAUCCGUUACGCGUAUCUGUGUGUUUCCAUCGUUUCUUACCAUCUUUUACGUCGUUACGCAUGUUGAUUCCGAACUUUGACCGUCUUACAGAUUUCCUAAUUACCCUGGUAAUAUCCUACGAUCAUGUGCAUAUAUAGUUUCCUCUUGUCGGUGCUUUGAAAAGUGGUGAUUUGUCAGUGAGCCUAACCUCUAAUACUUUUCUCCGAGGUACUUUUUGAAGUACGAGUGACGUUUCCAGGACGUAAGACGAGGGGGGAGCCUGCAGAAAACAGAUGCUCAUUGUGG